AAAUUUUUAUUUUCGUCAAUUUGUUUUGGCCAAUUUGCAUAAAAUAUUUAUUAGUUUUGAGAUUUUGCAGAUUCGAUCUGAAUUUUUAGAAAAUUAUUCAAAAUAUCCUUAUUUCUUUCUCUCUCUUCUUUUUUUCUCUCGUUAUUUAUUUUUAUUCUCUCCAAAGAGGGCAUCGAAGGUAGAGGCGAGCCCGUCUUGUCUCUACCCCUUGCGCCCUUGCAUGCGCCGGCGCCUGCUCAUCCCCUACCCUCCUCGCCUCCGAUCCUACUCUUUUUUUCUUUUUCUUUUUUUUUCUCUCUAGCCUUCCUCCACCACCUCUGCAGUCCUCUGCGAUGGUAAUGAAGAUAGCACCGCGUCCUCUUCUUCCGCCUUCGCCCUACAUCUCCACUACAGCAGAUUUUUCACCCACCAAACCUACUUUUGUAAACCUGCCAUCCCCCCCAUCGUCGUCGACAACGAAGAGGAAGCACUUCUCGGCAC
RNAcentral lists this long non-coding RNA (480 nucleotides) under Ananas comosus (pineapple). RNAcentral describes it as "long non-coding RNA (ACOM_LNC019742)". The record is from RNAcentral. Lineage: Eukaryota; Viridiplantae; Streptophyta; Magnoliopsida; Poales; Bromeliaceae.